UAAAUCCUUAUUCCAGAGGUGUCUCCCUACCCAGCUAGCUCGGCCGUUUGAAUCCCUGCAGCGCCAUCUGCUGGUAAGCCGAUCACAAUACUUCUGUUCCUCUGGAGGAAUUUAAUCACUCCUUCCCUCAAAGCCCAGUUCGCGCAUCAGCUCAGAACCCCGAGCAUUAGGGGCCAAAUGCGCGGCUCAUCCAACCAGCAUCUUUUGCAGAGCCAGGAGCUGGCCUCUCUUGCUAAACGCUGCCAUAUGAGAACUCAGCAGGAAACACGGCUUUAAGAAGCUCAGCCCUUCCUCCGGAGACAGAGAAUGGCCUGGAAAUCUUGUCUGCCCAAGAAAACCUGUCAGACUCCACAGAUUGUCCUUAUUCUGGAAGAGGGGCCAGAUUUUGGAGUCUCCCACCAUAUGGCCAAUACCUUUGAAAAGGACAGAAUCAAGACUGGCUUGCAGUGUGUUCAGUAAAGGAUUAGCACAUGUUUUUCAA
Long non-coding RNA from Antechinus flavipes (yellow-footed antechinus), 481 nucleotides. RefSeq lists it as uncharacterized. NCBI's taxonomy places the organism in Eukaryota, Metazoa, Chordata, Mammalia, Dasyuromorphia, Dasyuridae. The record is from RefSeq and is a predicted model, not a curated record. The transcript has 2 exons.